CAGCCGCCACGGUAAUACGUAGGUGGCAAGCGUUGUCCGGAAUUAUUGGGCGUAAAGGGCUCGCAGGCGGUUUCUUAAGUCUGAUGUGAAAGCCCCCGGCUCAACCGGGGAGGGUCAUUGAAAACUGGGAAACUUGAGUGCAGAAGAGGAGAGUGGAAUUCCACGUGUAGCGGUGAAAUGCGUAGAGAUGUGGAGGAACACCAGUGGCGAAGGCGACUCUCUGGUCUGUAACUGACGCUGAGGAGCGAAAGCGUGGGGAGCGAACAGGGUUAGAUACCCCUGUAGUCCCUGUCUCUUAUAA
Molecule: ribosomal RNA, 301 nt
Filed under: uncultured bacterium
Lineage: Bacteria
Description: partial 16S ribosomal RNA
Rfam family: Bacterial small subunit ribosomal RNA
Source: RNAcentral